UUGAUCCGAAGAUUUCCGAAUGAGGAAACUCACUUAGAGUAAUGUCUAAGUAUCAUUAAGUGAAUACAUAGCUUAAGGAGGGGAACUCAGGGAACUGAAACAUCUAAGUACCUGAAGGAAGAGAAAGAAAUUCGAUUCCGUAAGUAGCGGCGAGCGAACGCGGAUUAGCCCAAACCAAUAAAGUUUUCUUUAUUGGGGUUGCGG
RNAcentral lists this ribosomal RNA (204 nucleotides) under Clostridioides difficile. RNAcentral's name for it is "partial 23S ribosomal RNA". It matches the Rfam family "Bacterial large subunit ribosomal RNA", at positions 99 to 303 of the family's 2925-position model. Lineage: Bacteria; Bacillati; Bacillota; Clostridia; Peptostreptococcales; Peptostreptococcaceae. The record is from RNAcentral.